RNAcentral lists this unclassified non-coding RNA (2323 nucleotides) under Hevea brasiliensis (rubber tree). The record is from RNAcentral. Lineage: Eukaryota; Viridiplantae; Streptophyta; Magnoliopsida; Malpighiales; Euphorbiaceae.
AGAAACCUGACUUUCUUGAACUUUUGUUCAAUUACUGGAAAGCUGUCGAGAAAACAUGAAAAAAAUCGAUGCAAGAGAAAGCAACAGAGUUUCAAUCCUGUAGCAUAACUGGUCAACAGUAAAAGUGACACCACUACGUCACAAAGGUACUUAAGAACACAAACAAACAAACACAAAGUAAAGAAGAACCACCAUAUCAAACUGUCAUGACUUAGUCUGCUACACAAUACUGCUAAAGCAAAGGUAUUUUGGGUACAAAAGGCCUUCAAUGACUAAGAGGUGUUGUUUCAUUACAAUAUAUAUUCUGGUAACACCUAAGAAACAGAAAUACUAGGGCAAGGAUGGCCACAAGUUUCUCUAUCUUGCUCGUCUGGUCCUCUGUUCUUAGGCUGGAGGCUUCGUCAAUAGGGUCGGGCAAUGGUCUGGAACAGGCAUCGGAGAUGAUAGCUGUUUAGAUGGCAAGUGUGAAAAGGCAAAGUAAAAGAAAGAGCAUUAGAGAUGCAAUACAGGCUUCAGGCUAGUCAAAGUUAUCAAAAGGAAGAUGUGCUUGAGGCUAUACUGAAGUACAGAACAGAGAUGCCCAUUAAUUUAUGUAUAAGACCAAAAAAAGGUGAAAUUCUGUACCUCCGGCUGCUAAUAACCCUCUACACCCUAGUAUCCAUAAGAUUUUCCAUAGGCAGAAGGAUUAUGGCUGGAAACCCCUGAACUACUAGGUCGCCCAGAGGAAUAAACGCCAUAUGGUGCAUAAUUGCCUCCAUUACCAACCUGUGAGCCACCAUAACUAUCCCUUGGAGACAAAUCACUGUAAUCAUGUCCACCUGAAUAAGAUGAAUAACCAUGCCGACGUGAUCGAUUAUCACGGUUACCAUAUCUUGAGCCAUCUGGCACGCUUGCAGGCAUGGGGGCAUAAGAAAGGCCAGGAGAAAAUGCAGGAAAAGAUCCCUCCAUCUCAAAUGCAUUGGCCCUCAACCGCAUAAGUACUUGCAAUAACGCAUUGGCAGCAACAUUAGCAUCUCCAGUAAUCUGCACCAUCUCGUCAUCUACGGAUGCCACUUUUGGAUGAUUUUCCUUCGAAAGAACGCGGAUGCUUGCCCUUGUGGAAUUCCGCAUCUCAGUGAUAAUGGAACCACCUUUACCAAUAAGGCAUCCAACUCGUGAACUAGGUACAAGCAGGCGAGUCGUAAGAAUAGCAUCACCGGAUUCUUUUUCAGUUUUCUCACUACUUCUUGGUUGCAAACGCAUUGUUGCAUCGAUGGUAGGGGAUUGAUCUUCAAAUGUCUCCUUUGCUGAUACAAAUAUAAUGCAAUCAUCUCCCUCAGCCGCAGCACUAUCGACUUUAAUAGAUGCACCUGAUUCCUGUCUUAGCUGUUUGAUAACUCCUCCACCUUUGCCAAUUACAGCUCCUACAUUCUCAAUUGGACAAACCAAACGAACUGCAAACUCCUUUACAGAAGACGAUCUACUUCUACCAUCACUUUUGUAACUUGCGUAAGGACCCAUCAAUGAUGUCACACCCAUGACUUGGCUACCAGCAUGAGGAUUCACAAGUCCAGCACCAGACCUAUAUAUGCUGGGUGACGACAGCAACUGAUGUUGGGACCUUGAUGGAUUAUCAUGGAGGCGUGCUGCUACUUGAUAAAGUGCUCUCUUAACAACUGCAACUUCACCGGUUAUCUGGAGAAGCUCAUCCGAGUUUAGAGCACAAGGGGGCAAGUGCUCACUGCUUAACACCCGAAUCUGCGCACCUGUUUCACUUCGUAAAUUCUGGAUCACUUGUCCAGCUUUCCCUAUCACACAACCUAUCUGAUCUGAUGGGACAAUCAUCCUUACAGUAAUCUGAUGAUCCUCCAGAUCUUCGUCCAUACGCAGCUCUUCAGCAAGGACUCUGUCAUGCACCCUAAAUAGAGCAUCUUGAGCAGGUGAAAUCAGGUCACCAGUAUCUUCAGAGAUAUUAGUUUCUUCACUUCCACUAUAAAUAGUUACAACACGCUCGCAGCCAGGUAUGGUCUCACUAAUCCUAAUCUUUGAAUUAGUUUCAGUCCUCAAUUGUUUUGCAAUGUCCCCACCAACUCCAAUGAUACUUCCAAUUUUUCCUGUGGGGCAUAAAUAACGAAAAACAGUAUCCUCUGGUCCAAUGGAAUUUGAUUCCUUCUCAUCAGUUGGAGUCCUCCUCUUACUUCCAUCACUCCUGGAAUAGUCGGAUUCCGAUUGCAUUCUCUUACCGUAGUUAUUCCUCUGGCCUGCCAUGUCAAGGAGCUGAAUGUGCCACCCUUUUGUUUGUCUAGCAAACCUGUAUCAAGUGUUCUGUGAAAGCAGAAAUCCG